UAAUGUCUGGGAAACUGCCUGAUGGAGGGGGAUAACUACUGGAAACGGUAGCUAAUACCGCAUAACGUCGCAAGACCAAAGAGGGGGACCUUCGGGCCUCUUGCCAUCGGAUGUGCCCAGAUGGGAUUAGCUUGUUGGUGGGGUAACGGCUCACCUAGGCGACGAUCCCUAGCUGGUCUGAGAGGAUGACCAGCCACACUGGAACUGAGACACGGUCCAGACUCCUACGGGAGGCAGCAGUGGGGAAUAUUGCACAAUGGGCGCAAGCCUGAUGCAGCCAUGCCGCGUGUAUGAAGAAGGCCUUCGGGUUGUAAAGUACUUUCAGCGGGGAGGAAGGGAGUAAAGUUAAUACCUUUGCUCAUUGACGUUACCCGCAGAAGAAGCACCGGCUAACUCCGUGCCAGCAGCCGCGGUAAUAC
Molecule: ribosomal RNA, 419 nt
Filed under: Escherichia fergusonii
Lineage: Bacteria; Pseudomonadati; Pseudomonadota; Gammaproteobacteria; Enterobacterales; Enterobacteriaceae
Description: bacterial SSU rRNA
Rfam family: Bacterial small subunit ribosomal RNA
Source: RNAcentral